CUGCAAAUAUUCUUGAUAUUCUGAUUUUGUUAUAAUCAGGGCAAGCUUAACCUUUGUUAUACUGAGACCAUGCCUAUAUUCCUGGCCCUAGUUUUUCCCCUAGGUCUGGUUUUAGAAAUGAUUGUGAUAAAC
Molecule: small nucleolar RNA, 132 nt
Gene: SNORA72
Rfam family: Small nucleolar RNA SNORA72
About the family: U72 is a member of the H/ACA class of snoRNAs. The snoRNA gene is located in intron 4 of the ribosomal L30 protein gene in human, mouse and chicken.
Source: Ensembl